Long non-coding RNA from Corvus hawaiiensis (hawaiian crow), 8339 nucleotides. RefSeq lists it as uncharacterized. NCBI's taxonomy places the organism in Eukaryota, Metazoa, Chordata, Aves, Passeriformes, Corvidae. The transcript is spliced from 3 exons. The record is from RefSeq and is a predicted model, not a curated record.
UUGUAAUCUGUCUAUCUCAGGUUUCUGUUAGGGAAGAAUGCAUUUAAAUGCAUGGAUAAAAUUUCAUUACUAAAACAACUUUCUGAAGUUUGGCCUGGGACUGUGCAAUGUAUUUUUGGAAUAACCAAGAAUAUCACCAACACACCACUGAACCUACCUUUUGCUCUAGACACAAGAAAAAUAUUUUUAAUGUUUUUGUCUUUCACAUAGAUUGGUUGUAUUUCAACAAGAAAUGUUAGGAAAGCAAAUUGAAAAUUGGUUAUUCCAGAAAGGAAAGUGAAUAAUUACAAGAAGAAAGUUAAUAAACAACUAAAUUAUGGCUGUAAACCUCUAUGAUGAGCUUCAUAUCAAAUAACACUACCACGUUGUGUUUUUAAAAAUAUGUUCUGCAGUGUUUCAGGGAAAAUUGCAAAAUACCUUAAUACCACCUUAACCCCGUUGAUUAGAGUCUUUAACUACCAACCAAAAAUUAAUUUGUAUUCUUUUCCAGGUCUAGGAUAGACUCAAAUGGGAAUACCAUGUUAUUUGUGCUUCAAAAGCUCUCUAUUGCAGAAGUCUGAACAGACUACAAGAGUCUACAAAGGGCUUCUCCUCAGUGCUUCCUCUCCCUUUCUCCACUAGUUAUCCCUUUGGUCACUCUUCAUCAGAGUUCAGUCAUUGCAGAGAUAGGAAAAAGGAAGAUGAUAUUGGCAUUAGUCAGUGAUUUAAAGAAAUACAGUCACAGGAAGUAGAUGCCUGUAUUCCACAAAGAGCUGCCCACAUCCUUAAUUCUUCAGCCUCACAUGGGAAACUGUUUCACCUGUGUGGAGCCGCUUGAACACAUUGGCGCAUGUGAAGAAAAAGAAAUCGAUGGUCUGGAAAACAUUUUCUCUGCUGGAAAAUGUGUAAUAAGAUGCUGCCAAUGGCUCAGCUGCGUAAGCACUGGGAGCACAGUCAUGAACGUCUGCUGAAAGCACACAAACCUUUUUUGUGCUCGUUGCUUGGCACCCGUGCAGCUGAGCUGCUGCAGAAAUCUGGGUAUGAGAUGUCAGAGGAGAGAACAGAACUGAUCUACUUGGUGCUAUGAAUGCAACCUUUGCCUCCUGAUUAUAAGUCUUUGGGUUACUAUUAGGUUUGGAUUCCUUCUGUCCACUAAAAACCCAACAAACUAGGAUUUUAGUGAAAAUUUCAUUAUGAGGGAAAUUUCACCUCUAUAAACAUGGUCUUGUGCGUUUAGUGUAAACCAGAGCUGAACAGGCAAACCCUGAGCCACAGAUCAAAAAUAUGAUUUUUGUGGAUGUUUCUUCAUUUACUCCUGUUUUUUUGGGACUGAGGCUCCUUAUAUGCUUAACUACUAGGAAGGUAUAGCUGAGAAUCUUGAAUUAAGAAAUUGCUUUGUCCCCUAUCCCAACUGAGGGAGCUCUGAACAGUGGUGACUGAAGUGAAAUGUGACCAGACAGUUUGGGAAUUGGAGAAUAUGUAAACUAAACAUGUCAUAAUGACAUCUGGACAUUCCUUCCAGCAAAGUUAUGCUACAGAUGAGCCCAGCUAUACUGGUAGAUAGGUGAUUCCUGCCACUGAGGAUAUAUGGAAGCCACAGGAUUUUUCCAGGUGGAAAUCCUCCAAGCUCAUCCAUAACUCUCUCACAAAAUAUUUUUAUACAAACAUUGAGUAUGAUAUACUGUAUACAUUUAAAUAUGUAUCUUCUUAUAGGCUAAUCGGGCCUGAUCUAUUUCUCAACAUCCCUGGGUUCACUAGGAAAUGUUUUCCUGCAUUUCCUUGAAGACUUGAUUGUUGUUGCCUUAAUGACAUCGUCAUAGACGGAGAAGAAACACGUUCAUUUUACGUGUAGGAAAUUGAAUUUUUAGCUAGAUUUACCCAUAUUCGUUUCAUGUUGGGUAGACCUCCCAUUUUUCUCACGAGUUUGAUCUUUGGAAGCUAGUAAAAAGGAAAAAAUUGUAAAAAACUUACCUAUUGGUUACCUCACAGCUAUGAUAUCGAGUAGUGUAUAACAUUAAUUGCUUUGGAGGCAAGAGUAUUUAAUUUUCUUUUUUUUUUUCUGUUUGCCAGAAUCUUCAGACCUAAGAGUUAUAGCGUAACAUCACAUUGUUUAGUGCUCUGAGAUCAAAUUGCUUUCCUGCUAUUGUGAUGGCAAUAAGCAGUUUCUUGUAAUUGCAUAUAUGUCAUGUGGAAUCACGAGUUUUUCUUUUUGGAGUGAGAAUAUAACUUUUCAGGAUUGACUAAUUAAAAGGAAAAAGUAAGAUAACCUAGGUGGGACUGAGAUGUCCUCGACUUGCCUGGAAAGGCUUUUGUGUUAAGUUUCUGUAUCAGGAAUCAGCCUGUAGAUGUCCCCCAACACACAUUGUGCUACAUCCAGUGUUUCUGUUGAAAGCAGCUAUCACAUUUAUAAAUUACGAACAACCCAAGUUAAAGAGAGACAGAGAGAUGAAAAGCUGCUCAGGAAUGACUAUUCUGUGGGAGGACAGCUAAGUUAAUGACAGAUUUUAGAACAUCUCAGACCAAUGGAAAUAAGAGCUAAACAAGAGCUGAUAAAAAGAAAUAGAAAUGAGUCUUAUAGAAGACUGAAGAUGUCAGAAAAAUGGAGCCAAAAACGACACACUUCACUGUGACUCUAGAUAUGGAAAUCAUAAAUUUUCCUCUGGCUUAAUGAGCCAGAGCUGACCUUAGCACUGUAAAUACAUGAUGAAAUGAAUCCAUAAAGUGACAGGUUUGUCUUUGACAAAACCAGCGGGAUAGGGAGAGAAAAUACAGCUCACUCCACAAUCAUCCUGAUGAAAUGAUAAAUUUUGUUGGCCUUUACCUAUGUUUAGCUGAUGUAAUUAACUGCUGAAUAGUGCCUGCAUCAGUAGUGGACCUGGCCCUGCCUCCAUAACCUACAGUAGAGCUGGAUGAAUCCUGCAUAUGGUUUGUAACAAUGGGUGGAAUCCUCAGGAGUUGUUUGUUUCACCAAUUUGCAGCCUGUUGUCUUCAAUAAACCAUUGAUUUCUUCUCACAGAAGAUUUUGAUAAAUGGUUUCUACUUGUAUCAAUACCCAUCUUCACAUGCAGCCAAACACAUUUAUCAAAGAAUAUCCAUUUCUCACGAUUUAUUAUUUCCUUUGCUGUCAUUUUGGUCAUUAAUCUUCCAUUUUCAAAACUAUCCAGGGAGGACCUGAAAGAAUACAGAGUAAUUUUCCCUCAGCACAAGUAAUGAAGAAUCAAAGCAAACACUGAGGGACUUUUAGCUGGGAAAUUUCACAGCAUUUAGAUUCUACCCUCCUGCUGUUCUGACAUAGAUCACAGCACAGUGGGUAAUGGAAAGUCAGUAGCAUCCAACUUGCAGAUUUCAGGUCUACCUGUGUCCCCAAGGACAGCUCUAUAUCCAGGCCUUAAAGUCUCCAGCAGUGGACUCUCCCAAGCCUCCCUCCAGGCAAGUUAUUCUGAUAUUUGAUUAUUUCAUUUUUUGAGUAACUUCCUUAAUCUUCUUUCCUUCAUCUUCUUUUUCUUUUUUUUUUUUGUGGGCAUAGCUAAUAGCAACAUCUACAAUGAAAUAAUUAUUUCUCUUGUGUCAAGGAUCUGCGUACUGGAAGACUACUGUGUUCCACUCUCUCUCUUCCAUCCUCCUCUUCCUUAAGCUUCACAACCUUAUUUCUUUCACCCCUUCCUCAGAGAAGACUUUCAAGACGUUGCCACUUCCUUCCAGAGUCUCUCCAGGUGUUAAACAUUUUUCAGGAAGGAACAGUGUGGUAUUGUCAUGUGAUGUUUAUCUUGCUGUUCACCAAAACACACACAAUUGCUUUGGUAGAACUGUUAGAUAAAAUUUUGGUCUGUUUUCCCCAUUAUUUCUGCCUAAAUUGAAAUGUGAUGACAAAUCACAAUUACCUAUAUGCUAAAUACAAUUUUCAAUAUUUUCAAUUUUCAAUACAAAGUGAUAUAUAUACAAUUUUCAAUAUAAAGUACACCUUUAAGUACUUUGUUCCUACAUAAACUCUGAGAUUGUUGAAUCAAUGUCAUUUUUCUGCGCAAUGGUGGAAAAAAAUCCUUAGAGAUAAAGAAAAUAAGUAAACGCGAGUAUAAAGGUUUGACUCGAUGAUGGUCUUCUUCAACCUUAAUGUUUCUAUGAUUCUUUAUUUCAGUAGGAUUUUGAACACUGUAAGGGAGGAAUCUUAGCUGACUGUUACUCAUCUGCUACUAAUCAGAAUGACUUUCCCAAAGUCACACAGCAAGCAUUUUGAUGUAACUAAUGCAGUACAGAAAUGGAGAUUUCAUUCUGACCAACAGGGAAGAAUAACGAAGUCUUGGAAUAACUAAAAUACUCGCCCAAGAAAUAUUUAAAAUGUGAUACAGUAAAGUACUUCUAAAAAUCAAUUUUUCAUGGACAAACUAUGGUAAGUUUUCUUCUUCUAUACUACUUAAUGUAUAAAAGACGUAUUUUACAAAUUAAUUUCUAGUAGUUUUUAAAGGAACUUACAAAAAGAAAAAGUUGACUGAAAGAAGUGUGUAUCAGACCAUAUAUCUGUAACACAGUUCUACAGUAAGCAGUUUUUCAUUCCAUGGAUGAUCUAUGGUGAAUAAAUUUCUGCAACUAUAUUGCUUCUGGCCAGUAAGAGGAUGUGUAAUUGAGCUCUUCCACUUGUAGAGUGAGCCCCAGUCUAAAGGAAUGUAAAAAAUUGCAUCUGAGCUUUCAAGAAACAAGUUGCACACAGGGGACUUGCUAUGAAGGAGCUGUUGAAAUGUAAGGUGCUAAGACUUCUAUAACAAGUGGUGAUGUAUUUUGCUUUGUUUUCUGACACAAACCUGCAGACAAAUUGUAGGGGGCAGGAAAGAGACAACUUGAACUGCUGACUGCUUCAGUGAGACAGAUCGUACGAGGAGCAUCUCAUAUUUCAUCAAACCUCCAGCGGUCAAAUAGAGAGACUGAGUAAAGGUGAGGAGAAGUUGACCUCCGUACUGGAAAUUUUCUUUCCACAGUUGUGUCAGGACAUGAAGAAGCUAAUUUCUUUCUCUGACCCCAGCCAUACACAGAAAUAACAGAUGUCUCAAUAUGCUGAGAUCAGACAUUAAGGGGCAUCGGGGAGGACAGAUGUUGCAUCAACAGAGCUUUCCUUCUUCUGAAUUAAUCUGAAGUAAAGGGUUGUUUUCUGACCUUUUUCUUCCUAAUUUAAUCAAAUUAUAUUGUACUAGUUCUCCUGAUAUCAAGUCUAAUUAUUUGCAUUUAUUUAGGGACUAAUCCAGAAAAAAACAGAUUUAGCUUUAAAUGUAGACAUAUUUUUCCAUAGGAAAUUUCUCUGAGGAAACAUCAUGUAAUUUAAUCAGAAAAUGAGCCUCUCUCUGUAGAAUAAAGUGGGGCCACAUAAACUCCUUUAGAUAGAUGCGCUUAAAUGACAUAUUUAAAAACAUGUAGAAUUAAUAUGGAAUCAAAAUAUGGUAUUAAUUUUGAUAGAGUAAAUGGACCCAAGGAUCAUUAAGGUGUUAACCUGAUCAAGUCAUUGUAAAGCAGUCACAAGUAGCUCAAAUAUUUGAGUACAGAGACCCUGGAUCACCAUAGCUAAUUUCCAUAACUAAUACACACACACACACACAGAGUUUAGAUUAGGAGGUAAAAACACAACCAACCAAAACCAAACAUGCGGGGUUUUGAAGCUGAAAGGUUAGGAAACAGUCUGAUUGUGCAAAGUUCAUCUAUUUGGGACUUUCCUGAGUCUUUUUUCGUGAGAGAUACUGGUCAGGGCCUCUUAAUCUGGAUUAAUCUUGAUUAUUAGUAGAGAAGAGUAAACUGUUUCUGCUGAAAUUUUAGUCUUUUGCUCUCUUUGAUAAAAAGUACAGAGAAGAGGAGGGAGGAGAGGUUUGGUAGUAGGAGGUGAGGUAGUUGGAGUUUACUCCCAGUCCUGGGAUCCAAAGCAGCUGUUUAUUUGUCGUGGAUGGUCAGAGCCACUGGGACAACCUCAGCUGUUAGAUUGGCACAUCUGUCUCAGUCUCACAGCUGAGGCUGCAACCUGGCAUGUCCAGCUGGGGUCCCACUGCCUCUCAUGGAAUGAGCUUCUGGGGCUGCUCUAUAGAGCGAGUGCAGAGUCAUGGAAGCAAAAUAAAAAUGAGGGAGAGAAAAAGGCGGGGAUGGGAGGGACGGUAGUAUGUGGUAUAGUUUGUUGUAAAGAGGAUUGGAAGGAAGAUAGUGCCAAUGCAGUGGCAUGUUGUUGGAGAGGAGACUGGAGCACAAUCCCCAGUCUCUCUUGAGGUGGGUGUUUCUGAGGUGCUGUGGUCCCACACAUGGUUGUGUGUUGAUCAAGAAUAUUGCUGUCUGCCAUUUCUGGGGACAGACUAGCUGUGCACACUCUCUGCAUGACUUAGAUAGGACACUAACAUUCUGAGUGUAGUAUGAAACAUUUUGAUCAACUGGUAAAUUCAGAAGCAGGACCAAGGGCUUUUUUCAGAAAAAUAUAGUUCUCUUACCUUGAGUGGGUUUUGCCCUUAAAAUCUGCCUCAAGGUAUGAGUUGAAUAAAUACUUUUCAAAAUCAUAGUUGAGAAUAGUAUUAAUUAAUUGAGAAGUAGUAAUUAAUGUUGGAAAGUCUGUUACCUGCAUGUUCUACUGCUCUAUGAAGAUUCAGAUGCAUAAAAGCUCAAUUACACCCAAAGAACGUGUUGAGUCCUUGCUGAGCAGGAGGAUGUAGUUCACAUUUCACAUCCCAGAUCUGAUUGUUUUGUUACCAGGUUUGGCUUUGUUCUCACUCAGCUCCAGGAUGAGAUCUGUGUGCUUGUUGUCUUCCUAUGUACAUAGGUUUCCUUUCAAAAACAGCCUGGGGUUGUGGACAGGGAGGAAUCUGUGGUAUGCUCUGAUAUCUUCCCAGACAGAGCGUUCCAAGGACCAGGGGUGUGGGUGCACCCAUUCUGCAUCCUCGCCAUAGCCAGAGUCUCUGCAUGGAGAGCAGCACCGAUAUCACUAUGAAGAGAAGAUCUUGGCAGCAUCUCCAGGGAUGUCAAAAGUGGGGUUUCUAUAGUGCUAUAGGAGGUAUCCAUAAAAAAGAGACAAGAACUCAACAACCUGUGAUUGUACAAGACCCCCUUUAUCUCCAUUUUUCCCAAUGGUGAUCUAAGAAAACAUUAUAAUAAUUAAUUUAAAUGGCAUUAUUCAUUAUAAUAAAAUUAUACAACUUUGCUGUCUGCUUUCUAUAAACAUUACUCUAGAGAUUCUGAGGGGAGGCUGAAAUGUAAACAGUACUUUUUUACAUAAACAUUCACUAAGAGUCUUGCUCUUUCUUCCUAGAGACUCCACACCAGCACUUGAUUGCAAACUUAAAUUAAAUUGUUUGAAGACUGGGUUUAACAUUUUUCAGUACAGAUAAACAAUAUAUUUCAAAGUAAACACUGUUAUAUGACAUGUGCAACCUUAGAAAUAUACCAUUUUAAUUAUUACUGAUGACAUUGCUUGUUUAUCCUUGGUAUAACAUCAUUAAUUGAAGUGAAAUUACCUUUGAUUUUGCAGAUGUAAAUGGGCAAAUUUAAAUUCUUACUUUCUAAUAUGUAAACAACUAAAUUUCAUGUGUCUCUUAUGAACACAGGAGGUGUUAUUGAACAAACUGAAAACUUUGCUUAUGUGCAAAGUGAGAAGGUAGUUUGGGUCGGUCUCUCUCUGAAAUGAUUCAUUCUCUCACACAAGAAAUCUCUCUCAGUUUAGUUGUUGCCUUAAUCUGAGCUACGGUUCUUCUGACCAAGAAGAUACUUGUGUAGUCUUCACAUCCUGGAGUGUGCAGCACUCUAAUGAUGUAAAUUACUCACACUGCUAUGUCUGGAAGAAAUGGUAUCAACCACAUACCAUGUCUUGGGCCUCUCUCCUCCUGCUCCUCUCUCCUAAAGUGGUUUUUCAUGACAAGUGUUGCAAAACAGAAGCCAGUGGGAAACGUGCUGCUGAGCAAAGUAACUCUGUGAAGCAGAAAGUUAGAACCAGAGAACAAAAGGUUAGUUUUCUUGUAGAAAAGAUAACAGCUUGAAAGUGUCUCCCUCUUCUCUCCCCACGUUAGAAAAGGGUGCACUAGUGAGGUUAGGUCAGCACACACAUGUUUUAAAUUAGUGGUUUAUAAACAAGGAAGUGACAAUUAUUCGUUAUGAUUGUUUGUCAAAUAAUCACAUCUGUACCUAAUUACCAUGUAUGUGACAGUGUUUGCAUUUCUCAGUAAGCUGAAUUCAGUGAGAAUAGCUUAGAUGUUAAAUUGUGAGCCCACAUUUAAUGGAUACAAAUAUUUUAACACAGUAUACAUUGUGUUAAAAGUUAUAAAUAAAAGUGCCAUAUAGCUCUAAUCAGUUUCACUCCUUAUCUUUCACUUGCAAAGUUUACGAAACACAGCAAUAAACCUUAACGUACUCUC